CAUGACUAACAAAUAAAAAGCAAGAGGUAAAGGAAACUCCCCCGAUCCAUCGAGUCUCGGUCCGAAUCAAAGUAAGGAUACACCUUGCAUACCCGACCCAAUGAAUAUAUCCAUGCUGAAAGUUUCUUUUCUGCCUUCUUCGGGUACAUCCCACACUUGUCAUAAUGUCGAGAAUAACUCUGCCAAUAACCAAGAACAGACUUCCUAAUAUUAGAGGGACCUCAUUAUUUUCUUCCAUAUUCACAAAAAUGAAGUCCACAUGGAUCACAUAUUU
RNAcentral lists this long non-coding RNA (274 nucleotides) under Nicotiana benthamiana. Its description in RNAcentral is "long non-coding RNA (NBEN_LNC014398)". The record is from RNAcentral. Lineage: Eukaryota; Viridiplantae; Streptophyta; Magnoliopsida; Solanales; Solanaceae.